UGCCAAUGGGAGUUUCUCCUCUUGU
Molecule: non-coding RNA, 25 nt
Filed under: Mus musculus (house mouse)
Lineage: Eukaryota; Metazoa; Chordata; Mammalia; Rodentia; Muridae
Source: RNAcentral